This 586-nucleotide ribosomal RNA is filed under the name uncultured bacterium. Its description in RNAcentral is "bacterial SSU rRNA". It matches the Rfam family "Bacterial small subunit ribosomal RNA", at positions 338 to 916 of the family's 1533-position model. The record is from RNAcentral.
CCUACGGGAGGCAGCAGUGGGGAAUUUUGGACAAUGGGCGCAAGCCUGAUCCAGCCAUGCCGCGUGAGUGAAGAAGGCCUUCGGGUUGUAAAGCUCUUUCGGUAGGAACGAAAUGGUUCGUGCUAAUACCACGGACUGAUGACGGUACCUGAAGAAGAAGCACCGGCUAACUACGUGCCAGCAGCCGCGGUAAUACGUAGGGUGCAGGCGUUAAUCGGAAUUACUGGGCGUAAAGCGUGCGCAGGCGGUUUCUUAAGUCAGAUGUGAAAGCCCCGGGCUUAACCUGGGAACUGCGUUUGAAACUGGGAGACUAGAGUGUGGCAGAGGGGGGUGGAAUUCCACGUGUAGCAGUGAAAUGCGUAGAUAUGUGGAGGAACACCGAUGGCGAAGGCAGCCCCCUGGGUUAACACUGACGCUCAUGCACGAAAGCGUGGGGAGCAAACAGGAUUAGAUACCCUGGUAGUCCACGCCCUAAACUAUGUCAACUGGUUGUCGGGGGAUUAACUCCCUUGGUAACGAAGCUAACGCGUGAAGUUGACCGCCUGGGGAGUACGGCCGCAAGGUUAAAACUUAAAGGAAUUGACGG